This 483-nucleotide small RNA is filed under the name Vigna angularis var. angularis. RNAcentral describes it as "Non-protein coding transcript". The record is from RNAcentral. Lineage: Eukaryota; Viridiplantae; Streptophyta; Magnoliopsida; Fabales; Fabaceae.
GAUUUCAUUAACCACUUCUCCUUACUCUCUCUAACCUCUGAGUUUUCUUCUUCUUGCUCUGGCUUCUCUCUACUUUUCCACCACAUCCCACCGUUGAAAUUUCAAAUAGGUGGUGUUUUCUCGUUCACGGAGUUGAGAGCUUUCCAUUCAUCCUAAAUUCUGUUUUGGACGGGUUGUGUUGAACUUGCUUCUGUGCAAGGGUUACUAUUUUGGGUUUCUUUUAAAGAGUGUUGUGUUUAUAACCACCAAGUUGUAUAUGCUUGUGUGGUGUUCCUUUUUGCAAUGAUCAUCCAAUUGGAUGUGAGCAGAUGAAGAAAAGGUGUCCGUGGAGCAAGCGUUGGAAGAUGGUGAUGGGGCAGCUUUGGAAUUCUAGAAUCACAAUUAGUAGAGCUACUUUGAUAAUACUCCAAAAUGGUCAUCUAUGUUUAAGAGACCAAUUGUGACUAUAUUUUUGGAUGACUGUAAUCAAUAGUCUGUUAUAUG